GGGCGCUUGGUCUAGGGGUAUGAUUUUCGUUUCGCACCAUGAAGUAACUACGAAAGGUCGUGGGUUCAAUUCCCACAGCGUCCA
RNAcentral lists this transfer RNA (84 nucleotides) under Blumeria graminis f. sp. tritici. It matches the Rfam family "tRNA". Rfam says of the family: Transfer RNA (tRNA) molecules are approximately 80 nucleotides in length. Their secondary structure includes four short double-helical elements and three loops (D, anti-codon, and T loops). Further hydrogen bonds mediate the characteristic L-shaped molecular structure. tRNAs have two regions of fundamental functional importance: the anti-codon, which is responsible for specific mRNA codon recognition, and the 3' end, to which the tRNAs corresponding amino acid is attached (by aminoacyl-tRNA synthetases). tRNAs cope with the degeneracy of the genetic code in two manners: having more than one tRNA (with a specific anti-codon) for a particular amino acid; and 'wobble' base-pairing, i.e. permitting non-standard base-pairing at the 3rd anti-codon position. RNAcentral also lists the same sequence under 1 other name. Lineage: Eukaryota; Fungi; Ascomycota; Leotiomycetes; Helotiales; Erysiphaceae. The record is from Rfam by way of RNAcentral.